AUUCAAUUUUCUGCCACCGAAUACAUUAGCAUGGGAUAAUGGAAUAGGCACCCUGUCCUCCUAUUUUCAGUUGGUUUUGGCAGCGCGAGGACUAGGGUAAUGAUUAAUAGGGAUAGUUGGGGGCAUUAAUAUUUAAUUGUCAGAGGUGAAAUUCUUGGAUUUAUGAAAGAUUAACUUCUGCGAAAGCAUCUGCCAAGGAUGUUUUCAUUAAUCAAGAACGAAAGUUAGGGGAUCGAAGACGAUCAGAUACCGUCGUAGUCUUAACCAUAAACGAUGCCGACCAGCGAUUAGGAGACGUUGAAUACAAAACACCACCAUCGGCGCGGUCGCCCUUGGCGUUCGUGUUCACGCACGGGCGCGAGGGCGGUUUAGCCCGAUGGCCCGGUGAAUGACUCCCUAGAAGCUUGG
RNAcentral lists this ribosomal RNA (408 nucleotides) under Acanthamoeba sp. RNAcentral describes it as "SSU rRNA". The stretch from base 1 to 347 matches the Rfam family "Eukaryotic small subunit ribosomal RNA", at positions 778 to 1114 of the family's 1831-position model. Lineage: Eukaryota; Discosea; Longamoebia; Acanthamoebidae. The record is from RNAcentral.